Long non-coding RNA from Spinacia oleracea (spinach), 673 nucleotides. RefSeq lists it as uncharacterized. The record is from RefSeq and is a predicted model, not a curated record. The transcript is spliced from 3 exons. Lineage: Eukaryota; Viridiplantae; Streptophyta; Magnoliopsida; Caryophyllales; Amaranthaceae.
UCAGAAUUCUUUCUCUCUUAUCUUUCAGUUUUCUCUCUCCUCUUGUAAAACCUCUGUUGCGCAUCUUCGUGUUCUUCAAAUUUGUUGAUUCUCCUUGCAAAUCUCAAGGUUUUUGGGGGAUUCUCGUCUUCUUCAGAUCAGGAAGGGCUGUUAGGAUGUGAUUUGGAGUAGCAGACAUACGGUAGCCUUUUAUAGAAUGUGAGCUACAAAGAGCAGGCUACAGUUUUAAAAUUGAAGUUUCCGAGGUUUGAGGAAGCUUCUUAUUAAGUUUAAGAAGGAAGACACCUAAGAGUUCAAAGAUAUUAGACAGUGAUGACUCCAAAAAGUGGCUGCCUACUGUUGAUUCCUGAGAUCGUUUAUAUGCGUCAAUCAGGAUGUUUUGCAGCUGCUGCAGAUGGUUGGGAUGAGGCCGUUCCACCCCCAACGAGCAGAGUUCCUAUUGUUCCCGGUUGUGAUGACAUAUGCUCUUUCAGUUAACCUUUUCUUUCCACGUCUAUCUGAUUUGGUUUGUGUUUGUUUCUGCAAAAUUGUGUAAAGUGAGAAAAAUAGGAUUGUUAAUAUAAUGAGUUGUAAAGUUAUUCGGAAAGAUGGUUUCAAAUUGUGUUGGUACCAACAUGCAAGUUAUGCCUAUUAGCUCAACUGGUAGAGCUUUGUGAGAUUGCACAAUGAUGUA